Eurytemora carolleeae is the source of this 617-nucleotide long non-coding RNA. RefSeq lists it as uncharacterized. The record is from RefSeq and is a predicted model, not a curated record. Lineage: Eukaryota; Metazoa; Arthropoda; Copepoda; Calanoida; Temoridae. The transcript is spliced from 3 exons.
AUAAAAGGUUUACUAGAAUACGGGGUAAUAUGGAGAACCUUUGUAUAAAAGGUUUACUAAAAUACAAGGUGAGCUAGAGAACCCUUGUAAUAAAGGUUUACUAGAAUACAGGGUGAGCUAGAGAACCCUUGUAUUACAGGUUUACUAGAAUACGGGGUAAUAUAGAGAACCUUUGUAUAAAAGGUUUACUAGAAUACAGGGUGAGCUAGAGAACCCUUGUAUAAAAGGUUUACUAGAAUACAGGGUGAGCUAGAGAACUCUUGUAUAAAAGGUUUACUAGAAUACAGAGUGAGUUUGAAUAUCCAAUGUAUGAGAGGUUUAUUGUAGGACAGGGUGAACAUUUUAACCCCUUGUAUAAAAGGUUAUUAUAAUACAAUGUGAAGCAGAAUAAACCCCUAAUCUAUGAUAGGUUAAUAAAAUACAUUAUUUUAAUUUGUUUUUAGAAAAGUAAAAAAAUGCGAAGAAUUUUUGAUUUAAGAGCCCUCAGUGCUCCUGUGGUCUUAAUAUUUGGUGUACUGUACUUCACUUGUUCCUCUUCAAAUACAUUCAAACAAUUGAAUUCUGGCGUGGAGGGGGGUCUAGGGGUUGAUGGUGAAGUACGAGAUUCUGUUAAGCAA